This is a long non-coding RNA of Halichondria panicea, 1759 nucleotides long. RefSeq lists it as uncharacterized. The record is from RefSeq and is a predicted model, not a curated record. Lineage: Eukaryota; Metazoa; Porifera; Demospongiae; Suberitida; Halichondriidae. The transcript has 10 exons.
UCUCACCCACGUGGACAAAUGGACCAGGGACUGGCAAGGUAAAGAAACUCCUGAAGACUCAGUGAGGGUAGAGUAUAGCGGGGCAAGAGUGAAGUGGUGUUGGUCUAGCCGUACUGAGGAACACACAAUGGAGCAGAUACCCAGCUCAGCAUUUCAAAUACCCAGACUAGAUGAGGUAAGAAUGAAAAGAAAGAAACGCCUCAGAACAAAGUGAUGACAACAACAACUAUUGGUGUGUUAUGGGAGGGGCUGGGGCUGGAGGACGAAGGAUCGGGCAAUGUGGUUGUCGCAAAUACCAGGAGGUUCGAAGGUCGUCCUGUGGACUACAGUGGAGAGGGCUAUGUGGUUUGUAUCAGCAGUGGCAAUGACAGCAAGGGUUUCCUCAUGAAGCAAGGUGUCCUCACUAAUGGCCGUGUUAAAAGCUCCUCCUCAAGAAGUGGCACAGUUGUUACAGACCCAGACACACUGGAGAAAGGAAACGCAAGUCAGUGAGAGGCUGCAUAGUGGACAGCAACCUGAGUGUGCUCAAUCUAGUCAUCAUCAAGAAAGGUUGGUGGAGGAGCACUCUAAAACACUGGAUAGGGUCACUGAACUAUGGAAGCAGAAGUGGCCUGUCAAUUGGGACGAUGUGCGUAUGCACACACACACACACACACACACACAGUUGGACGGACAGUAAGAGGUUGUCGUGGGCCAGUACUAGCACCACUCCGGUCCUCAAACCAAAGAGGGCAAUCAACUGCGAGGAUAACACAUAGCAAUCCUCUGUAUCACAUGACUCAGAGCCGCUGAGUGAAGCCAUAGCCCAGAGCAGGACCUCAUUGACCAACUAUAAGCCUCAGAGCAGAGAGAGCUACAGCUCACCAGACUCAAUUAAAGGACUAUUCCUGUGAAACAGAGUCUCAGGAUAGCAGUGGCAACAAGCCCACAAAGCUGGUCUCUAUGGUAACUGCCGUCAAGCGUAACCAUGACAGCGAUGCGGAGGCGUAUAUUCUGCAACCCCCCAGCAACAACCACCGAGGCCUACAUCUGACGGUGUUAUAUAUGGCAACUUCAAUGAGAGGAGGAUUGAAUACGAGGAAGUGCUCUUGUCUGAGCGUACUGAUAGCCAGUACUCACAGUCUGAGAGCUAUCUCUCUGAGAGUAGCUACUAUGGUGGACUGAGCAGCACUCAGAGUAUCGACCUGACCUUCCACUCCUCCAGAUCACCCCCUCACAUAACAGAUUGACUGUGGACACAAUGAUGACGACGCAGUCUCCCACACAGCAUCACAGUGACGAGGAGGAGGGCACAGGUGUCGGCUUUAUGGCACGUGACGAUGCCUCAAGCACAGACUCACCGUCACUGCAGCAGGCUCUCUGUUACCUGCACUGUCAGUGGAUUGUUCACAAUGACCUGAGACCCUACUGCGGGGUCAUGGCAUCAUUAAGAGGCACAAGGCAGACUAGUGUCCUCGUGGUGAAGCUACACCUUCAACUGUAUGAGAUGUACACACAAGAACACAAUCUGCUUGACUUCAAGAGUGUGACCUGGCCCCAUACUAACUUUGGAAUGACGAGUAUAAAUGUCUUUGUCAUGAGGUGCAAGAUUGCUUAUGUGAUCUUUCAACUCCUUGUGUACACUAUCCAUUGUUUUCUGACAUACAUGUAUGCAGUUAAUUUAUUAGCUUACUAGUGACCUACGUAUAUACCACAACCUUGUAAUACAUUAUUUCAUAUUUCUUUCAUGCAUGUUUGUUCAUUGCAGUUCUUGAUAUAA